UUGCGCAGAUCUGCAUUGAGCUGGCCAGGGAAACGCAGGCAGGUGGUGACCCCGCUCAUUGUGGCAGAGACCAAGUGGUUGAGGUCUCCAUAUGAUGGUGUGGUGAGCUUGAGUGUACGGAAGCAGAUAUCGUACAGAGCUUCAUUGUCAAUACAGUAGGUCUCAUCUGUGUUUUCUACCAGCUGGUGCACAGACAGGGUAGCAUUGUAGGGCUCAACCACAGU
This is a long non-coding RNA of Anguilla anguilla (European eel), 224 nucleotides long. RefSeq lists it as uncharacterized. The transcript is spliced from 2 exons. The record is from RefSeq and is a predicted model, not a curated record. Lineage: Eukaryota; Metazoa; Chordata; Actinopteri; Anguilliformes; Anguillidae.